Molecule: long non-coding RNA, 321 nt
Filed under: Sus scrofa (pig)
Lineage: Eukaryota; Metazoa; Chordata; Mammalia; Artiodactyla; Suidae
Description: lncRNA (ENSSSCG00035001386.1)
Source: RNAcentral
UGAACUUUCCAGACCUUGGUUCCCCGCUAAGAAGAAAAGGAGCCCUGAAAGCCACCUUUGGUUACUGGCCUGAAAUGCCCUGAGGAACAUAAGCAACGUCAUGGAAUUUUUACAUCAGAUGAGGUCUCUAAUGAGAUGGAAGUGAUGAAGGGCAGCAUCUAAGUUUAUCUCCUUCCUGCUGUAUCCUGAGGAGCUGGAUGGUCCCCUGCCUGAAGGAAGAACCAAAGUAGUGUUGAAUUAAUAGAUAAAUGAAGCUAACUACUUUUUACAGUAAAGUGCUUUAAAAUGAAUAUGUAAUUGCAUUUAUUAAUCCUUGGGAAG